GACGAACGCUGGCGGCGUGCUUAACACAUGCAAGUCGAACGAUGAAGCUGGAGCUUGCUCCGGUGGAUUAGUGGCGAACGGGUGAGUAACACGUGAGCAAUCUGCCCUUCACUCUGGGAUAACUGCGGGAAACUGUAGCUAAUACCGGAUACGAGACCUUGGGGCAUCCCAGGGUCAGGAAAGAAUUUCGGUGAAGGAGGGGCUCGCGGCCUAUCGGCUAGUUGGUGAGGUAAUGGCUCACCAAGGCGACGACGGGUAGCCGGCCUGCGAGGGUGACCGGCCACACUGAGACUGAGACACGGCCCAGACUCCUACGGGAGGCAGCAGUGGGGAAUAUUGCACAAUGGGCGAAAGCCUGAUGCAGCAACGCCGCGUGAGGGAUGAAGGCCUUCGGGUUGUAAACCUCUUUUAGUAGGGAAGAAGCGCAAGUGACGGUACCUACAGAAAAAGCACCGGCUAACUACGUGCCAGCCGCCGCCGUAA
This 483-nucleotide ribosomal RNA is filed under the name uncultured bacterium. Its description in RNAcentral is "partial 16S ribosomal RNA". It matches the Rfam family "Bacterial small subunit ribosomal RNA", at positions 28 to 523 of the family's 1533-position model. The record is from RNAcentral.